UUAUGUGCAUUAAUAACAGUCUCAAACAUUUUUAUUUUCACUUAAAGAUUCUUUACGUUGUAAGGAAAAAAACACAACUCUUAAACAUGGGCUCUAAUGAAGACAUCGGGGCUACUGUGUUCAACUAUUUCCCCCUUUCCUCCAACUCUUUUUUAGGAUUGGUGGAGGGUAAAGAUCGGAAGUAGUUUAUUUAUGCUAAUGAAGGAGUUGGGGGUUGUAGAUAUUUACGUUCAACGGGAGCCGCCCUUCAUUCACCCACAUGGUUAUAGGCAGGUUGUAUUCGCGCCACUUUCGCAAUUUACUAUGAUUUACAAAGUCCGGUCGGGGCGCAUUUCACACUCGUUUGGAUUUGCUUCAUGCCCUCUACUUCAGCAUAAUAGCAAAUUAAAAGUUUGCGGCGUACUUUUCGCACAUUUGCCUGUAACGUUGACAGUAAACGAACUUUCGUGAUGUUCUCUCGUCAAGCAAUUCGUCACUGUUGAAUACUCAGUUUGCCGUAUUGACCCAUGGAUGAAAGCCCUUGCAGAAUUUCACCGUUUGCAGUCACAGUAUUGCCAAAGUGCUUACAGUGCAGGUAGUACUAUGGAAUAUCUACUGCAGUGGAGGCACUUCUAGCAAUACUCUGGCCAUGGCGAACUAGUGUUGGAAUUUUGAUGUUCAUGUUGACACCUUCAAUAACAACUUUGUGCUAAGGUGCAUCUAGUGCAGAUAGUGGAGUAGACUAGCACCUACUGCCCUAAGUGCUCCUUCUGGCAUGAGGGCCUGUUAUAUGCAACUAAAUACACGUGGAAAUGUUGUCUUCUGUUGUCACGUUAAUUCCUUAAUUUUUGCAGUUCUCUGCUAGUUUUGCAUAGUUGCACUACAAGAAAACAUGAGUUGUGCAAAUCUAUGCAAAACUGAUGGUGGCCUGCUUUGUUCACCACCUUUCCCCCCAAAAAACAAAACUUUAAAAAAAAUUGGUGUGUGGGUGUAUGAUUGGUGUCCCAUAUUCAUGCUGGUGUCCCCCCUCCAUCCCUAGUCCUUCUUUACAGAUGUGUGUUGUGUGAAAUGAGUUUCAGCAGUGCUAAAGUGCUUAUAGUGCAGGUAGUUUUUAAAGUCCUCUACUGCAGUGUGAGCACUUGAAGUACUUCUAGCUAUGUGCGUCUGGAUGGGAACACCAUGGUGUCGGACCCACUCCUUAUCCGCUGGCCGGGUACUGCUAGUUUUGCUGGUUUGCAGUCAGCUUUAACAGAUGGAUGCUGUGCAAAUCCAUGCAAAACUGACAGUGACGGCAAAUUGACUCCAAAACUGUUUAAUUGUGUUUGUGGUCCCUUUCUGCGCAGGUUGGGAUAGGUGGCAAUGCUGUGCACUGGAAAGGUAUUGCACUUGUCCCGGCCUGUUGAGGAUUGAGGAGAUUAUGCCCCUGAUGUAAAAUGCUUGACUUUGUAGUAUUGCAUUAAUGUUUCUCUAAAAUGCAUGAUUGGGUAUUUAAAAAAGAAUUUGAAUAAAACUGCUACAACAUGCACGGUUUCUCUACUGUGAUAUUAAAUAUUGGUGUGAAGGGGUACCAUUGUGUAUGUGACUAUAUUUCUGAGAGGCUUUCAUUUUGUUGUCUGUUUAUGAAUGCAUGAAGUCUUUUGUAUUGAGUGAAUAUUACAGUUUUUACUUUUUAAUAAAAUAAAAUCUGAAUUUAAUUUGAGCCAAUCAGAUGUGCGCUUCACUAUUUUGCCCUUGGAUGGGAAGUGCAGAAUCUGUGGAAAAGUAUUCAAAUUCUAGAUUGUUUGUAUAAAUUCUGCAAUCUGAAAAGCAUUGAAUUGUCCUCAAGGAAUUGUUCAGGCUUUUGUAUUUAUCUCUGGGACAAACAAAUGCUACAAUGCUUACUUUUUUAUAUACUGUUGUUUAAUGUAGCCUAAAUAAAUUGUCAUUGAGAA
This is a long non-coding RNA of Clupea harengus (Atlantic herring), 1910 nucleotides long. RefSeq lists it as uncharacterized. NCBI's taxonomy places the organism in Eukaryota, Metazoa, Chordata, Actinopteri, Clupeiformes, Clupeidae. The record is from RefSeq and is a predicted model, not a curated record.